RNAcentral lists this ribosomal RNA (1210 nucleotides) under metagenome. RNAcentral's name for it is "bacterial SSU rRNA". It matches the Rfam family "Bacterial small subunit ribosomal RNA", at positions 277 to 1498 of the family's 1533-position model. The record is from RNAcentral.
CGAUCAGUAGGGGUUCUGAGAGGAAGGUCCCCCACAUUGGAACUGAGACACGGUCCAAACUCCUACGGGAGGCAGCAGUGAGGAAUAUUGGUCAAUGGGCGAGAGCCUGAACAGCCAAGUAGCGUGCAGGAAGACGGCCCUAUGGGCUGUAAACUGCUUUUAUAAGGGAAUAAAGUUAGUCUCGUGAGACUUUUUGCAUGUACCUUAUGAAUAAGGACCGGCUAAUUCCGUGCCAGCAGCCGCGGUAAUACGGAAGGUCCGGGCGUUAUCCGGAUUUAUUGGGUUUAAAGGGAGCGUAGGCCGGAGAUUAAGCGUGUUGUGAAAUGUAGACGCUCAACGUCUGCACUGCAGCGCGAACUGGUUUCCUUGAGUACGCACAAAGUGGGCGGAAUUCGUGGUGUAGCGGUGAAAUGCUUAGAUAUCACGAAGAACUCCGAUUGCGAAGGCAGCUCACUGGAGCGCAACUGACGCUGAAGCUCGAAAGUGCGGGUAUCGAACAGGAUUAGAUACCCUGGUAGUCCGCACGGUAAACGAUGGAUGCCCGCUGUUGGUCUGAACAGGUCAGCGGCCAAGCGAAAGCAUUAAGCAUCCCACCUGGGGAGUACGCCGGCAACGGUGAAACUCAAAGGAAUUGACGGGGGCCCGCACAAGCGGAGGAACAUGUGGUUUAAUUCGAUGAUACGCGAGGAACCUUACCCGGGCUUGAAUUGCAGAGGAAGGAUUUGGAGACAAUGACGCCCUUCGGGGUCUCUGUGAAGGUGCUGCAUGGUUGUCGUCAGCUCGUGCCGUGAGGUGUCGGCUUAAGUGCCAUAACGAGCGCAACCCCUCUCCUUAGUUGCCAUCAGGUUAAGCUGGGCACUCUGGGGACACUGCCACCGUAAGGUGUGAGGAAGGUGGGGAUGACGUCAAAUCAGCACGGCCCUUACGUCCGGGGCUACACACGUGUUACAAUGGCAGGUACAGAGAGACGGUUGUACGUAAGUACGAUCAAAUCCUUAAAGCCUGUCUCAGUUCGGACUGGGGUCUGCAACCCGACCCCACGAAGCUGGAUUCGCUAGUAAUCGCGCAUCAGCCAUGGCGCGGUGAAUACGUUCCCGGGCCUUGUACACACCGCCCGUCAAGCCAUGAAAGCCGGGGGCGCCUAAAGUCCGUGACCGUAAGGAGCGGCCUAGGGCGAAACUGGUAAUUGGGGCUAAGUCGUAACAAGGUA